Molecule: long non-coding RNA, 2339 nt
Filed under: Ursus thibetanus thibetanus
Lineage: Eukaryota; Metazoa; Chordata; Mammalia; Carnivora; Ursidae
Description: lncRNA (ENSUTTG00000021972.1)
Source: RNAcentral
GCCAUUGGCCCCGAGGAUGCGGGGAGUGCCCUGCGGAGUCCCACUGGGAGCGGCGGGCAGGUGAGCUGGGCUCGUGGACCAGCUCGCUGCUUGGGCCGGAGCACCGGCGGGGUUCGGCACUGUCCGCCCUCCCGGCUUGGGGUCUGGGGUCCACGGGCCUGCCCAGCCACUGGCCGGUGGGAUGACCACAGCCCGUUAGUUCAAGUGUUCCGUUCAGCGGCUCUAGGCGCUUUCCGCCGAUUCCCAGUAGCCUUGCUGGACACCCUCUGCGCACUUUGAAUACCUGCUGGAAUAAUACCUGCUGGAAUAUUGGCAGAGACCUACAUGGGUCCCCCUGUGAGCCAGACAUUUGUGCCCGGCUCUCAUACGUGUUAACUCCUUUACUUUCUCAACCGCAGCAGAAGGUCGUAUACCCCAAACUCCAUCUCAGCAUCUGCUUGCGGAGAAGCCAUCCUGCAACACUUGCUACCAGGAGUGGUCUGAGAAAGCAAGGGAGGAGACGGGCCAAACCCUCACAGCCCCUGUGGUGGUCUGUUCAUUUCCCACUAGCUUUGAAGCUGGAGGGUGAACCCGUGAAGGGAAACGGAAUACACUAAGGGGGUGACUUUUCCACCUUACAGUAGCAAUCAAGAAGGAUCAUGGAAUUGGGCAGCUGCUCCUUAGGACUACUGAUACUCUUAAGAAAAACAACGCGGUGGGGGGGCGCCUGGGUGGUGCAGUCGUUAAGCGUCUGCCUUCGGCUCAGGGCGUGAUCCGGGCGUUCUGGGAUGGAGCCCCACGUCAGGCUCUUCCGCUGGGCACCUGCUUCUUCCUCUCCCACUCCCCCUGCUUGUGUUCCCUCUCUCGCUGGCUGUCUCUCUCUCAAAUAAAUAAAUAAAAUCUUAAAAGAAAGAAAAAAAGAAAAACAACGGGCACCUGGGUGGCUUAGUCGUUUGAGCGCCCCACUCUUGAUCUCAGCUCAGGUCACGGUCUCAGGGUCAUGAGUUCAAGGCCCGCACUGGGGCCAGCGUGGAGCCUACUUAAAAAAAUAAAAUAAAUAAAAAGAAAAACAGGAGUGCCUGGUGGCUCAGUCUCUUAAGCGUCUGUCUUCGUUUCAGAUCACGAUCCCAGGGUCCUGGGAUGGAGCCCCGCAUUGGGGUCCCUGCUGUGCAGGGAGCCUGCUUCUCCUUCUACCUCUGCUGCUCCCCCUGCUUGUGCGCUCUCUCUCUCUCUCUCUCUGUCAAAUGAAUAAAUAAAAAUCUUUAAAAAUAAAUAAAAAUUAAAAAAAAAAAAAAAAAGGAUAGCUGAUGGCUAAUAACAGACAAUUGAAAGCCAUGGAGCCUGUUUGGUUGCAUAUAAAGAAACCAUCUCCCACACUGAGAUGAUAAAGACAAGGGCCAGGCCCAGGGAUUAAUACGUCAAAGAUGGUAAACACCCAACCAAGGCAGUCCUGUUAUGCUAAGUUUGGGAAGCUGGUUGGGAAAAUCUGGGGCCACGACAUGGCUUGGAGGUAUCUGGUAUCUGGCUAGAUACCCUCACAAAGGCUUUGACUCCCCAGCCUACCCACGUGGCUAUUUAGCCAGCCCUCCUUCCCCACCUACUGGACACCAAGUAUAGAAUCACAGUUAUUUUUUGGGCAUAAUUUAGCUGGAAACAUGAGAUGGAAAGGGAACUAUAAUCCCCUCUCCCUCAAAGGAACUGUGUAUUCGUUUGCUAGACCUUCACUAACAAAGUGCCACAAACAGGAAAGCCUACCAGGAAUCGGCCUCUGGAGGCCAGAAGUCAGGACAAGAGGACAGCAUGGGGCACCUGGCUGGCGCCGUCCGAGGGGCAUGUGAUUCUAGAGCCCCACAUUGGGGGUAGAGAUUACUAAAAAAGUAAACUUGAAAAAGAAAAAAGAUGACAGCACGUCUGGGUCCUGCUGAGGACUGCGAGAGGCUGUCAUUCCUCUGUCCCAGCUUCUGGCGGUCUGCCGGCAAGGUCUGGUAUUCCUUGGCUUGUGGGUGCAUCGCACCGAUCUAUGCCUUCAUAUUCACAUGGCUUUUCCCCUACACGUGUGUCCAUUUCUGCGUCCAAAUUUCCCCUACUUAAAAGGACACCAGUGAUAUUGAAUUAGAACCCGCCCUAAUGAAUUUCUCCAAACUGGAUCAUCUGCAAAGACCCUGUUUCCAAAUAAGGUCAUAUUCACAGUUACUUAGGGUUAGUACUUCAACAUCUUUUCUGAGAGGAGGUGGGGAUACAAUUCAACCCAUAACAAGCUGUAAGACCAGCCAACAUAUACUUCCAGGAACUGGGAAAAUUUGUGUGGGGCUGGAUUAUGAGUGUGUUUAAUGAGUGGUGGUCCCCAGCACCUUUAAUUC